This 69-nucleotide transfer RNA is filed under the name Rattus norvegicus (Norway rat). It matches the Rfam family "tRNA". From Rfam's summary of the family: Transfer RNA (tRNA) molecules are approximately 80 nucleotides in length. Their secondary structure includes four short double-helical elements and three loops (D, anti-codon, and T loops). Further hydrogen bonds mediate the characteristic L-shaped molecular structure. tRNAs have two regions of fundamental functional importance: the anti-codon, which is responsible for specific mRNA codon recognition, and the 3' end, to which the tRNAs corresponding amino acid is attached (by aminoacyl-tRNA synthetases). tRNAs cope with the degeneracy of the genetic code in two manners: having more than one tRNA (with a specific anti-codon) for a particular amino acid; and 'wobble' base-pairing, i.e. permitting non-standard base-pairing at the 3rd anti-codon position. The record is from Rfam by way of RNAcentral. Lineage: Eukaryota; Metazoa; Chordata; Mammalia; Rodentia; Muridae.
GGGGAUUUAGCUCAGUGGUAGAGCGCUUACCUAGGAAGCACAAGGCCCUGGGUUCAGUUCCCAGCUCCG